Long non-coding RNA from Setaria italica (foxtail millet), 1078 nucleotides. RefSeq lists it as uncharacterized. The record is from RefSeq and is a predicted model, not a curated record. NCBI's taxonomy places the organism in Eukaryota, Viridiplantae, Streptophyta, Magnoliopsida, Poales, Poaceae. The transcript has 5 exons.
CUUGUUCCCUGACUCAAGCCAGUAUGCCUACCAGUUUGCCUUGUCGACCAGCUUGCCUGACGUUGUUCUCUUCUGCGAUCUGCAAUUCUCAAGCGACAGCACGGGCUUCUGCAAAACAGGGUUGACCCUUGACAACUCGACGACAGUCUCAGAGAUCUUCCCCAAGAUGGAAAAGACAUACAAGGUGCAGGGAGAAGAUGUCCAUGGCUGGUUCUCUCUAGAUUUCACCGCGGACCAGCUGAUUCAGAACGUCACGUUAAUCCAGAACAUCUUUUCUCGCCCAAGCACAUUUGAUGGCUCCAUGGGAAUGUACACGCUUGAUGAUAUUGUUGAGCUCCGCCCCCCUCAAAUAUGGCUUAAUGUACAGUACAAUUCAUUCUUUCUGGAGCACAAACUAAGUACUGAAGAUUAUAUAUUAGGACUACCAAAAGAAUUUAGCCUCACUUACAUCUCCUCGACAGAGAUUAUUUCUUGAAAAGCCUGGGUGGAAAACUCAAGAAAAGCAAGACGAAACUGGCCUUCCGGUUCCUCAAUGAAGAUGUCAUUGAGCCUUCAACCAAGAAGACAUAUGGGGAGCUCCUGAAAGACCUGAAAUCCAUCAAGGAUUUUGCGGUCGGGAUUCUUGUCCCCAAGACCUACAUCUGGCCACUGAACAAAGAUCAGUACCUGUCACCAUCCACAAGUUUGGUCAAAGAUGCGCAUGCCCUGGGGCUCGAAGUCUAUGCGUCUGGAUUUGCCAAUGAUAUCGCUACAAGUUACAACUACAGCUAUGAUCCCAGUGCAGAGUAGUUGCAGUUCAUAGACAAUCCAGACUUCUCUGUCGACGGUGUGCUCACGGACUUCCCGCCCACUGCAUCAGGAGCUAUUGCUUGCUUGGCUCAUUCUAAGGGCAAUCCUCUAGCACCUCCUGGAAAGGACACCAGGCCGCUGAUCAUCACCCACAAUGGGGCUGGCGGUGUCUUUGCUGGGAGCACAGAUCUUGCCUACCAGGAGGCGAUCAAAGAUGCCGCCGACAUCAUAGAUUGCUCGGUUCAGAUGUCAAAAGACGGAGUGGCCUUCUGCAUGCACUCUGCCGAUC